RNAcentral lists this ribosomal RNA (384 nucleotides) under uncultured bacterium. RNAcentral describes it as "bacterial SSU rRNA". It matches the Rfam family "Bacterial small subunit ribosomal RNA", at positions 29 to 417 of the family's 1533-position model. The record is from RNAcentral.
AUUGAACGCUGGCGGAAUGCUUUACACAUGCAAGUCGAGCGGCAGCGCGGGGCAACCUGGCGGCGAGCGGCGAACGGGUGAGUAAUGCAUCGGAACGUACCCAGUCGUGGGGGAUAACUGUCCGAAAGGACAGCUAAUACCGCAUACGUCCUGAGGGAGAAAGCGGGGGAUCGCAAGACCUCGCGCGAUUGGAGCGGCCGAUGCCGGAUUAGCUAGUUGGUAGGGUAAAGGCCUACCAAGGCGACGAUCCGUAGCUGGUCUGAGAGGACGACCAGCCACACUGGAACUGAGACACGGUCCAGACUCCUACGGGAGGCAGCAGUGGGGAAUUUUGGACAAUGGGGCAACCCUGAUCCAGCCAUUCCGCGUGAGUGAAGAAGGCCU